UACGGAGGGUGCAAGCGUUGUUCGGAAUUACUGGGCGUAAAGCGCGCGUAGGCGGCUUUGCAAGUCGGGUGUGAAAUCCCCAGGCUUAACCUGGGAACUGCAUUCGAGACUGCAUCGCUAGAGUAUCGGAGAGGGAAGUGGAAUUUCAGGUGUAGCGGUGAAAUGCGUAGAUAUCUGAAGGAACAUCAGUGGCGAAAGCGACUUCCUGGACGAAUACUGACGCUCAUGUGCGAAAGCGUGGGGAGCAAACAGG
Molecule: ribosomal RNA, 253 nt
Filed under: uncultured bacterium
Lineage: Bacteria
Description: partial 16S ribosomal RNA
Rfam family: Bacterial small subunit ribosomal RNA
Source: RNAcentral